ACUUCUCUCGUUCCUUCGAAAGGACUUAGUCGGCGCCGAUUUAGACAUUCUACUCCAUGUAUAGUUUUAUUUUUUUUAUUUUCUCCUGCUCGAUUUACUUGGAUUGUUAAUGUUUGAGUUCAUAUGCAAGGGUGUAGUUGGAAUGGAGAGUGGCAAGGUUCCUAUGGUGCAAGUAAUGAAGAUAAAGGUUGGAGCUCACAUCCUAA
Molecule: long non-coding RNA, 206 nt
Filed under: Linum usitatissimum (flax)
Lineage: Eukaryota; Viridiplantae; Streptophyta; Magnoliopsida; Malpighiales; Linaceae
Description: long non-coding RNA (LUSI_LNC003760)
Source: RNAcentral